ACGCUGGCGGUGCGCCUUAUGCAUGCAAGUCGAGCGAAGCUUUUCAGUAGUUUACUACAGAAAAUGACUGAGCGGCGAACGGGUGAGUAACGCGUGAGCAAUCUACCUUAGUUACUGGGAUAGCCCGAGGAAACUCGGAUUAAUACCGGAUAAUCUUAUUACAUCACAUGAUAUUUUAAGUAAAGGUCAGCCGAACUAAGAUGAGCUCGCGUUCUAUCAGCUUGUUGGUGGGGUAAAAGCCUACCAAGGCUACGACGGAUAGCUGGUCUGAGAGGACGAUCAGCCACACUGGGACUGAGACACGGCCCAGACUCCUACGGGAGGCUGCAGCAGGGAAUAUUGCGCAAUGAGCGAAAGCUUGACGCAGCGACACCGCGUGUGGGAUGACGGUUCUAGGAUUGUAAACCACUUUCAGGAGGGAAGAAAAUGACGGUACCUCCACAAGAAGCCCCGGCCAACUACGUGCCAGCAGCCGCGGUAAUACGUAGGGGGCGAGCGUUGUCCGGAUUUAUUGGGCGUAAAGAGCUCGUAGGCGGUUCAACAAGUCGGUCGUGAAAGUUCAGGGCUUAACCCUGAAAUGUCGAUCGAUACUGUUGUGACUAGGAUAUGGUAGAGGUGAGUGGAAUUCCGAGUGUAGCGGUGAAAUGCGUAGAUAUUCGGAGGAACACCAAUAGCGAAGGCAGCUCACUGGACCACUAUCGACGCUGAGGAGCGAAAGCUAGGGGAGCAAACAGGAUUAGAUACCCUGGUAGUCCUAGCUGUAAACGAUGGAUACUAGAUGUAGGAAUUGGAUUGACGAUUUCUGUAUCGUAGCUAACGCGUUAAGUAUCCCGCCUGGGGAGUACGGUC
Molecule: ribosomal RNA, 849 nt
Filed under: uncultured bacterium
Lineage: Bacteria
Description: bacterial SSU rRNA
Rfam family: Bacterial small subunit ribosomal RNA
Source: RNAcentral